This 220-nucleotide ribosomal RNA is filed under the name uncultured bacterium. RNAcentral describes it as "partial 16S ribosomal RNA". It matches the Rfam family "Bacterial small subunit ribosomal RNA", at positions 553 to 769 of the family's 1533-position model. The record is from RNAcentral.
ACUGGGUGUAAAGGGAGCGUAGACGGCACUGCAAGUCUGGAGUGAAAGACCCGGGGCGUCAACCCCGGGACCUGCUUUGGAAACUGUGGUGCUAGAGUGCAGGAGAGGUAAGUGGAAUUCCUAGUGUAGCGGUGAAAUGCGUAGAUAUUAGGAGGAACACCAGUGGCGAAGGCGGCUUACUGGACUGUAACUGACGUUGAGGCUCGAAAGCGUGGGGAGC